CGGGGCUUUCCCGCGGAGGCUAAAAUGGAAAGAGCGAGUUCCCGCCACCACCGGCCUGGGGCGGAUCCUCAUCAGAUGCUGGAAGUUGGAGGAGGCACUAGGGCCUGGGACGCUGCAAAGGGACGACUGGACCCUAAACCCCUGUCUUCACAUCACCAUCAAAGUAAUUUCCUACCACCCACAUCAGAUCUUGCUCCUUUUCUACUUUAAAACCUCCAAAGGCUUUCCAUUGACUCCAGGAUAAAGCCCAAAGGCAGCAGCAGCAGGAUGUCGUCACCGUCCACUAGGCCCUGCCUAUCUUCUCUUUGUUCAUUCACAACAUAUCCAGCUACUGUAGGCUCUGCAGCUCUAGCAGAGACUGAGGCAGAUUUCCUGCCCUCAUAUUGCUAACAUUCUACUGGAGGAGGGGGAUCAGAUAAUAAAUACAUAAACAAA
This is a non-coding RNA of Microcebus murinus (gray mouse lemur), 435 nucleotides long. Lineage: Eukaryota; Metazoa; Chordata; Mammalia; Primates; Cheirogaleidae. The record is from RefSeq and is a predicted model, not a curated record.